RNAcentral lists this transfer RNA (70 nucleotides) under Junonia villida. RNAcentral's name for it is "tRNA-His". RNAcentral also lists the same sequence under 1 other name. Lineage: Eukaryota; Metazoa; Arthropoda; Insecta; Lepidoptera; Nymphalidae. The record is from RNAcentral.
ACUUAAAUAAUUUAAAAAAAAAUAUUGAUUUGUGGUAUCAAAAAUGUGAAGUUAAUAGUCAUUUUAAGUU